Molecule: microRNA precursor, 61 nt
Filed under: Macaca mulatta (Rhesus monkey)
Lineage: Eukaryota; Metazoa; Chordata; Mammalia; Primates; Cercopithecidae
Description: Mml-Mir-430-P4_pre stem-loop
Rfam family: mir-302 microRNA precursor family
Source: RNAcentral
ACUUUAACAUGGAGGCACUUGCUGUGGUAUGACAAAAAUAAGUGCUUCCAUGUUUGAGUGU